AUCCCUGCGGUGUGCGUGAAAUGAAUUUUAUUUUAACCGAUAUUUUUAGAAAGGAAUCCUAUCUCUGGCUGUGGCUGUAGACCAUGCAUAGACAAGGGAACAUUUAAGCAGUCAGGCGGAGUCCACCUGCUCGGCAGGUUAAAAAUAUGUUCAAAUAACGGCUCGGCGGGGUGU
Molecule: non-coding RNA, 174 nt
Filed under: pig gut metagenome
Description: 6S / SsrS RNA
Rfam family: 6S / SsrS RNA
About the family: E. coli 6S RNA was the first non coding RNA to be sequenced, but its function was unknown until recently. It consists of 184 nucleotides that fold into an extended hairpin structure with a large single-stranded internal bulge. The 6S RNA specifically associates with RNA polymerase holoenzyme containing the sigma70 specificity factor.
Source: RNAcentral